GUGGGGAAUUUUGGACAAUGGGCGCAAGCCUGAUCCAGCAAUGCCGCGUGCAGGAAGAAGGCCUUCGGGUUGUAAACUGCUUUUGUACGGAACGAAACGGUCCUGGUUAAUACCCGGGGCUAAUGACGGUACCGUAAGAAUAAGCACCGGCUAACUACGUGCCAGCAGCCGCGGCAAUACGUAGGGUGCAAGCGUUAAUAGGAAUUACUGGGCGUAAAGCGCGCGCAGGCGGUGCUGUAAGACAGGCGUGAAAUCCCCGGGCUUAACCUGGGAAUUGCGCUUGUGACUGCAGUGCUGGAGUGCGGCAGAGGGGGAUGGAAUUCCGCGUGUAGCAGUGAAAUGCGUAGAUAUGCGGAGGAACACCGAUGGCGAAGGCAAUCCCCUGGGCCUGCACUGACGCUCAUGCACGAAAGCGUGGGGAGCAAACAGGAUUAGAUACCCCGGUAGUCC
RNAcentral lists this ribosomal RNA (450 nucleotides) under uncultured bacterium. RNAcentral's name for it is "partial 16S ribosomal RNA". It matches the Rfam family "Bacterial small subunit ribosomal RNA", at positions 354 to 796 of the family's 1533-position model. The record is from RNAcentral.